RNAcentral lists this ribosomal RNA (447 nucleotides) under uncultured bacterium. Its description in RNAcentral is "bacterial SSU rRNA". It matches the Rfam family "Bacterial small subunit ribosomal RNA", at positions 355 to 825 of the family's 1533-position model. The record is from RNAcentral.
UGGGGAAUCUUGGACAAUGGGCGCAAGCCUGAUCCAGCCAUGCCGCGUGGAUGAUGAAGGCCUUAGGGUUGUAAAAUCCUUUCGUGGGGGACGAUAAUGACGGUACCCCAAGAAGAAGCUCCGGCUAACUUCGUGCCAGCAGCCGCGGUAAUACGAAGGGGGCUAGCGUUGUUCGGAUUUACUGGGCGUAAAGCGCGUGUAGGCGGGUCGUUAAGUUGGGGGUGAAAUCCCGAGGCUCAACCUCGGAACUGCCUUCAAAACUGGCGACCUGGACUCAAGCAGAGGCAAGUGGAAUUGCGAGUGUAGAGGUGAAAUUCGUAGAUAUUGGGAAGAACACCAGUGGCGAAGGCGGCUAACUGGUCCGGUACUGACGCUGAGGUGCGAAAGCGUGGGGAGCAAACAGGAUUAGAUACCCCCGUAGUCCCUGAGCGGGCUGGCAAGGCGCAU